AUACGAAGGGGGCUAGCGUUGUUCGGAAUUACUGGGCGUAAAGCGCGCGUAGGCGGAUUGGUCAGUUAGGGGUGAAAUCCCAGGGCUUAACCCUGGAACUGCCUCUAAUACUGCCAGUCUUGAGUUCGAGAGAGGUGAGUGGAAUUCCUAGUGUAGAGGUGAAAUUCGUAGAUAUUAGGAAGAACACCAGUGGCGAAGGCGGCUCACUGGCCCGAUACUGACGCUGAGGCGCGAAAGCGUGGGGAGCAAGCAGGAUUAGAAACCCCGGUAGUCC
This 274-nucleotide ribosomal RNA is filed under the name uncultured bacterium. RNAcentral describes it as "partial 16S ribosomal RNA". It matches the Rfam family "Bacterial small subunit ribosomal RNA", at positions 523 to 796 of the family's 1533-position model. The record is from RNAcentral.